UGUUUUAGCGGCCACAGUCUUGCGGGG
RNAcentral lists this small RNA (27 nucleotides) under Bombyx mori (domestic silkworm). Its description in RNAcentral is "ovarian small RNA-9253". The record is from RNAcentral. Lineage: Eukaryota; Metazoa; Arthropoda; Insecta; Lepidoptera; Bombycidae.